Molecule: RNA transcript, 6149 nt
Organism: Alosa sapidissima (American shad)
Lineage: Eukaryota; Metazoa; Chordata; Actinopteri; Clupeiformes; Clupeidae
Gene: adam23a
Gene name: ADAM metallopeptidase domain 23a
Exons: 26
Source: RefSeq, a predicted model, not a curated record
UAUGAGCCGCCUGGCCACCGCCUUCCACCCGUACCUCCACCCUCCGCUGUCUAACCGCGUUCUCCACCCCUCCAUCGCAAAUGCAAUAGCCUACGCAGGAUUUACUUCUUCCUGUGGGAUACGCCAGGAAUCCAACAAAACGGGUCAUCUUAGUGGUUAAAAAUGGACCGUGAUGUGCUCCGUACAUUGAUACGCUAAUGUCAUUUUACAGCCUUCAAAUAUGAAUCAUGUAUUUGGUAUUCCUUCUGAGUCUGGUCGUCAGCAUCCUCAUCGCCUUGCAAUGUCCAUUUGCCUCAACGUCAACGGUUUCCCCUGCCGCUGAAUAUGUGGACAUCGGGAACACGGCGUCAGACAAACCCGGGCGAGAGUCGACAGCUUCAGCACUGGACAGCGCCAACUCUACACGCGAGGGGCCUGCUCAGGGGGUCACGAUUACCUAUCCUGCGAGGCUUAUCUACUACUUAAACAAGGAGUCGGAGAGUACCAACCAUGACCUGGAUACCCGUGCGCGGAACCAGAUCGCACUGGACCAGGAUAUCCACCUGGCUCAGGCAAGCUUUCAGCUUGAGGCCUUUGGGUCCACCUUUAUUCUGGACCUUUCUUUAAAUAAUGAUUUGCUGUCCUCAGAUUAUGUAGAGAUCCACUUUGAGGAUGGGAAACCGGUGCUUUCUAAGGGAGGGGAGCACUGCUACUACCAUGGCCAAGUGCGAGGAAAGGAGUCGUCGCGUGUGGCCGUGUCCACCUGUAACGGACUGCAUGGUAUGUUUGAUGAUGGGGACUUUGUGUACCUCAUCGAGCCGCUGAAGCAGACGCACUUCUCGGACAUGGAGGCCAGACCACAUACUUUACGCAGAGCCACCUCGCUGCUCUCUCUGGGUGACGCAGUUGACCUGGGUCUGGGGAAACAGAGGGAGGACGAGGCUGAGGAGGAUGGGCCAGAGAAGGAGGUCUCAUCAGACAUGCCCUGGCUAAGACGCCGGAGGAAACGAGCCAUGCCACGUAAUGUGUUCGAGGAGAUGAAGUAUCUGGAGAUCAUGAUUGUCAGCGACCACAACACGUUCAAGAGACACAAAACCAAAAAGCAUACCAGGAAUUUCGCAAAGUCAGUGGUCAACUUUGUUGAUGCGGUCUUCAAGGAACAGCUGAAUACGCGCGUGGUGCUGGUCGGUAUGGAGGUUUGGACCGACCGAGACCGCAUCCCCCCAAGUGUUCGUCCACUGGAUAUGCUCAAGGACUUCUCCAAGUACCGGCAGAGCAGCAUCAACCUCAAUGCCGAUUCUGUGCACCUCUUCACGAAUAUGACUUUCCACUACGACCGGAGCAGUGUGGCUUACAUCGGCGGGGUGUGCUCGACGGACCGGGGAGUCGGGGUCAACGAGUACGGCACCACGUGGACCAUGGCAGCCUCUCUCUCCCAGAGCCUGGCACAGAACCUGGGCAUCCAGUGGGACCCCCCGACCAGGAGGAAGCAGUGUGGCUGUAUGGAUUCAUGGACUGGGUGCAUCAUGGAGGAUACAGGGGUGCAGCACCCUCGCAGAUUCUCCAAAUGCAGCAUAUCUGAUUAUAAGACCUUCCUGUUGAAGGGUGGGGCUUCAUGUCUGUUUAACAGACCAAAUAAGCUUUUUGAGGCCACAGAGUGUGGCAACGGGUACGUGGAGGUGGGGGAGGAGUGUGACUGCGGAACUGGAAUGGAGUGCUAUAGGGACUGCUGUAAGAAGUGUUCUCUCUCUAAUGGUGCCCACUGCAGCGAUGGUCCAUGCUGUAAUGUCACCUGCUUGUUUUAUCCACGAGGGCACAGCUGUCGCUACGCUGUGAACGACUGCGACAUUUCAGAAACCUGCUCAGGAGACUCGGGACAGUGCCCUCCAAAUCUUCAUAAGCAGGAUGGGUAUUCAUGUCAGCUUAACGAGGGGCGCUGCUACAAGGGGGAGUGCAAGAGUCGUGCGAAUCAGUGCAAGUACAUCUGGGGAUCGAAGGCCAGUGGUUCGGAGAAGUACUGCUAUGAGAAGCUGAACACCGAGGGAACAGAGAAGGGCAACUGUGGGCGUGAUGGAGACAAGUGGCUGCCCUGCAGCAAACAUGAUGUGUUCUGUGGGUACCUGCUGUGCUCCAAAAUUGGUAGGAGCCCACGCAUUGGAACCAUGAGAGGUGACAUCACCCCAACCACAUUCAACCACCAAGGGACACUGGUGGACUGCAGCGGUGCCCAUGUGAUGAUGGACGAUGACACUGACCUGGGGUACGUGGAUGACGGUACUCAGUGCGGCCCCUCCAUGAUGUGCCUUGAACGGAGGUGUUUGCCCAUCUCUUUCCUCAACAUCACCGCAUGCCCCUCGGGCCCCAACGGACGCAUCUGUUCUGCGCAUGGGGUGUGCAAUAAUGAGGCCACGUGCACAUGUGACUCCACAUGGGCAGGCACAGACUGCAGCAUGCACGACCCCCCGAAGGAACCACCGACCAUGCUGAACGAGGGACCCAAGGUGAGCGUGGCCACUAACAGACUGAUAGGGGCAGUGGCAGGGACCAUUCUGGCCCUGGGGGUGAUAUUUGGAGGCACAGGGUGGGGAAUAGAGUAAGCACUGCUUCUCCCUUUCACCACUCUCCCGGACUUCAAGGGAGAAUAUGUGGCCCUCGUUGUAUGACUGGUGUGAGUGUGUGUGUGUUCAUUGGGUCAUGUAAAUGUGUGUGUGUGUGUGUGUGUGUGUGUGGGUGUGUGUGUGUGUUCCUGUUCUCCCAGUGGUGGCUUUGUUGUUUUGUGGUGACCGUGGUGGUGCCCCGUGCUUGGACAUGUCAGUGUCAUGUGAUGGAAUCGUUCUUUUGAUUGAUGGGUGACCUCCUUUUGCCUCCCCCUUUUCCUUUAACUGUGACUGAAAUCCACUGUGUCUGGUGCUCCCCUAAGCCCGGCCAUGUGGGGCAUAUCUGAAUACUCAAACAUACACUCCCACGCACAAUCGACCUAAUCAUUCCAUCCUUCCAUCGGAAGAAUCGAGGAGAGAGACAGAUGAUGGAUGGUUCAGAGUCGGUUUUGGGUGGCGGUAGAGUAGCGAAGCAGAUGAAUAUGACAUCACUUCCUCCGUUGGCGCUGGACAUCACGGACCGCCACACUGUGUGGUCCACAGAGGUGUCAUGUUGUCACGUGAUCGUGAAACUCACAACAACAUGAGCACAUCUGUGUGUCUGAGUGGUGUGCCGCUCCUGUCAUGAUGCAAGCCCAUUAUCCCUUCCAUCCACAGCCAAAGAAACUUUACAAUCUGCAGUAGGUAGACUUAUUUUGGGACUAGUUAAGCAAUGAAUGAAAUUUGCAUGUCGUUUCCUCUUACCUCAGAAAUAAUGAUCAGCAAAGACCUGUUUGAUGGGCAGGUUUUUUCUUGUUUUGUGUGGCAGCUAACCAAUGGUGUUAGCAAGUGGUACGCUAACUGCUGUCCUGCAAAUUCAUUUGGACACCCAACAUGUCUCAGCUGAUCUUUUUCACUGUAUUCCACUGUUAGGGAAUGAAAAUGUUGUAAGAUGGAAACACCUGUAAAUUUGAUUGUUUUGCAAACCUGGUUCUCAAAAUGGGGCAUGUUAAUCGAGCUGUGAAAUAUUCAAACAUGUAACAUGUUUCCUUCCCUCUCACACACACACACACACACACACACACACACACACACACACACACACACACACACACUCAGUCAGUUCCACAUUUGAAUUCCUCAGACAUCACACCACACACACUCACACACUCACACACACACACACACACAGACACACACACACUCUACCCCCUUGAGCUGACCGCUGCUUUAUCUCCUUUGAUAUGUUGACCCCCAGCUUUUAAGGGAGUCCUCUGCGCUCAUGUGGUGUCUUCUCCCCCCUUCCUCCUCCUCCUCCUCCCCCUCCUAUAUUCCUCCCCCUUCCCUCCGCCACCUCCGCAGGUCCUAGUGCCACCAACCUUAUCAUAGGCUCCAUCGCAGGGGCCAUCCUGAUGGCAGCCAUUGUUCUGGGGGGGACGGGCUGGGGUUUUAAGUAAGAGAUGCAACCGCAUGCUUUCUUUCCUGCCUGCACGCCUGCACACAGGCGUUUCCUCUUUAUCUCUCUUUUUUAUUUUUGCCUCUCAAGACAAAAGGGCCUGAGCUUCUGCUACAGAUAACAGAUGCUCCCAUAGUGGCUUAGAAAUAUAACGACUAGAAAAGAGAUAACAUCUGCAAAACAUUGCCAACAAAAUAUAAAAACUUUGAAUAGCAUGGUAUAUCUGGAAUAAGGCUUUUAUUAAAGCAAAUCUUUUUGAAAAAACGAUGAAAAAGAGAUUACUUUGUUUACAUGCUAAGUUUGAAAGCUCCAACCUGAAUUACAAUGCAUCUAUAAAUAGAACCAGGUUAGUCUGAGUGAAAGUAUCACUUUGACUCUGAAACUUGACAGACUAACUCAGGAUGCAUCAUGGUAUGGCUUCACAACAUGGGCAAAUUUAGCAUUGCCCCAAUAUCUACCUCAGCCUUUAAGAUCUAAAUUUUGACAACCAUGCUUUCAUUAAUGCUAUUUACGUGAUAUACUCCAAUAUGGUGGUUAUGCCUCUGUACACUCUAGCAGAAUCUCUAGGAUACUGAUGGCCCAAAGCUUGACAUGCAUGCGUGCUAAGUAAAAAAAAGUUUAAGACAUUAAUAAUGAAGACAAAAAGAAUAAAUAUUAAAAUAUAAUGUGAUUAACCAAGUACAGUAUGCUGUAUGGCAUAUAUCAUUAAUAUAAUCCAUUUUGUGUUAUUUAUACAUUUUCAAUUAAGAAUAAUUAAGUUAAUUGUAUGCAAAUGAGGUUUAUCAUGUAAUUGUUGCAGAUGGAUUAGUUCUUAGAAGACAGAAGAGAAUAAUUGGUCACAGUGAAAGCAACACACUAGGGGAAGUCAAUCAAAGCAAAAUGGAAAAUUCAUGUAGUUCAUAAAGUGAUAUUACCAUUGAAUGCAGACAUUACUUCUGAUUUUGUUUGAGUCUAGGGACAGUGAAUUAGGGGGAAAGGUCCAUAUCAGUGUCGCCUCCAAAGCACUUACUGGCAUUUGUUUUUGAAGAAUAUACUCACUCUAGCAUGUUGGUUUGCAUAGCAUCUUGACCAAGGCCAUGGAGGGUUUUUGCAUGUUGACUGAACUGGUGGCAGCAUUGAGCUGCGAGGCAAGCACCACCAGUGCCUCGCACAAAGGCUGGGCAAACCCUUUGGAGAGAGUAAUUUUGGGGGAGAGCUGAAGUAGCUUACAGGGUAUGCAGGGUGGACUGGAAAAGGAGGGGAGGGAAGGGGAGGUGUGGAAAAGCUGACAAAUUUUUCUGACUGAUCUGACCCACUCUCCUUGCGGUGAUAUCUCUCUUUCUCUCUCUCCCCCCCUCUCUCGUGAUCUCGUGACUCCCCCUCUCCACCCCCUCUCCACCCCACCCACCCUUAUUUUCCUCCCCAUCCGCCUCCCCUUUCCUCCACUCUCAAUGCAAAGGGUGAAAGUAUAAGCUGAGCAGAGAGGGAGCAGACAGAGAAAGAGAGGAGGGGGGGGAGAGGCUGGUGGACACGUGCCCUGUCCUCUCCCGUCCCCUCCUCUCCCGUCGUUUGCUUUUUUUUUUUUUUUUUUUUUUGGUCGGUUGCAGCCUUUGUGCCAUGGCUAGCUGGCUGCCACUCUCACCCCUCUGUUCCUCCUGGGAGGCCUUUGGGGCCGGGUGGGGGUACCCCUGCCCCCAACCCACCUCGCGCUAGAGCAGAGCAAGACCCCUCCUCACCCCCCCACCCCGGACUCGCCCGACACACGGCUGCCUGUGCUGAAUGCUUCACAGAGACCUGAAACGUCAAGAAACGGCGUUACGACGCCAAUGCCAGCGCCAUCUAGAGGACUGGAUGAGGCUGUGCACUCUGGGGUCAGAUCCUGUGCUGGAUUCAGCCAAUCGAUCCGACCUUCGCUGGACUCCUCAUUUCCCUUUCCUGCCGCUAACUUAGCGGUAGCGUUUACUUGAAGACAACAAACAGAACAACGAUACUGAAUGAAACCACUACUGACUACUGAGCAUCUUCCAUUUGUAGUUUUUUGGAACUACAUUACCCACGCUCAACGCCCCAACCCUCCACCACCACCACCACCACCGUUCCCUUCCCUUCUCCCAAAUAGACUUUUAUUACCCCAAACUAUCCUUCCGUUCCUCUCUCCU